CUACGGGCGGCUCCAGUGGGGAAUAUUGGACAAUGGGGGAAACCCUGAUCCAGCAAUGCCGCGUGUGUGAAGAAGGCCUGCGGGUUGUAAAGCACUUUCGGUUGGGAGGACUGCUUCUAGCACUAAUAUUGUUGGAAGUUGACGUUACCUUCAGAAGAAGCACCGGCUAACUCCGUGCCAGCAGCGCGCGGUAAUACGGAGGGUGCAAGCGUUAAUCGGAAUUACUGGGCGUAAAGCGCGCGUAGGCGGCUAGAUCAGUCGGGUGUGAAAGCCCCGGGCUUAACCUGGGAACUGCAUCCGAUACUGUCUAGCUUGAGUACAGGAGAGGAGAGUGGAAUUCCACAUGUAGCGGUGACAUGCGUAGAUAUGUGGAGGAACACCAAUGGCGAAGGCAGCUCUCUGGCCUGAUACUGACGCUGAGGUGCGAAAGCGUGGGGAGCAAACAGGAUUAGAUACCCCAGUAGUC
Molecule: ribosomal RNA, 466 nt
Filed under: uncultured bacterium
Lineage: Bacteria
Description: partial 16S ribosomal RNA
Rfam family: Bacterial small subunit ribosomal RNA
Source: RNAcentral